UACGGAGGGGGCAAGCGUUGUUCGGAAUUACUGGGCGUAAAGGGCGCGUAGGCGGCUUGGCAAGUUGGGCGUGAAAGCCCUGGGCUUAACCCAGGAAUUGCGCUUGAGACUGCCGGGCUUGAGUGCGGGAGAGGUGAGUGGAAUUCCCAGUGUAGAGGUGAAAUUCGUAGAUAUUGGGAAGAACACCAGUGGCGAAGGCGGCUCACUGGCCCGCAACUGACGCUGAGGCGCGAAAGCGUGGGGAGCAAACAGG
Molecule: ribosomal RNA, 253 nt
Filed under: uncultured bacterium
Lineage: Bacteria
Also listed under: 1 other name
Description: partial 16S ribosomal RNA
Rfam family: Bacterial small subunit ribosomal RNA
Source: RNAcentral